This 448-nucleotide ribosomal RNA is filed under the name uncultured bacterium. Its description in RNAcentral is "bacterial SSU rRNA". It matches the Rfam family "Bacterial small subunit ribosomal RNA", at positions 329 to 793 of the family's 1533-position model. The record is from RNAcentral.
CCCCAGACUCCUACGGGAGGCAGCAGUGGGGAAUAUUGGACAAUGGGGGAAACCCUGAUCCAGCGACGCCGCGUGAGUGAAGAAGUAUUUCGGUACGUAAAGCUCUAUCAGCAGGAAAGAAAAUGACGGUACCUGACUAAGAAGCCCCGGCUAACUACGUGCCAGCAGCCGCGGUAAUACGUAGGGGGCAAGCGUUGUCCGGAAUCAUUGGGCGUAAAGCGUUCGUAGGCGGUAAAGUAAGUCAGAUGUUAAAGCCCGGGGCUCAACUCCGGUUCGGCAUUUGAUACUACUUGACUAGAAUGCGGUAGAGGUAAAGGGAAUUCCUGGUGUAGCGGUGAAAUGCGUAGAUAUCAGGAGGAACAUCGGUGGCGAAAGCGCUUUACUGGGCCGUUAUUGACGCUGAGGAACGAAAGCCAGGGUAGCAAACGGGAUUAGAUACCCGCGUAAG